UACGACUACAUAUCAGGCAUAUCAAUAAGCGGAGGAAAAGAAACUAACUAGGAUUCCCUCAGUAACGGCGAGUGAAGCGGGAAGAGCUCAAAUUUGAAAUCUUCAAGGUUUUACCUUGACGAAUUGUAGUUUAAAGAAGUGUUUUCUGUUGGUGUUUUGGUAAAGUUCUUUGGAAUAGGACAUCAUAGAGGGUGAGAAUCCCGUAUUUGACCAUUAUUUCCAACUUUGUGAUACACUUUCAAAGAGUCGGAUUGUUUGGGAAUGCAGUCCAAAAUGGGUGGUAAAUUUCAUCUAAAGCUAAAUACUGGCGAGAGACCGAUAGCGAACAAGUACCGUGAGGGAAAGAUGAAAAGAACUUUGAAAAGAGAGUUAAACAGUACGUGAAAUUGUCAAAAGGGAAGCGUUUGACACCAGUGUUGUUUUCUCGAAAAUCAAUUAAAAAUGGCUUGAUUUUGUAUUGUAAUUGACUUAUCAGCUUACGGCUACUUUUUCUUAUUCUUUUUAAUGCACUUUUCGUUUAACAAGUCAACAUCAAUUUCUUUUGUUGUAAAAGAGUCAUUGGAAGGUGGCUUUCACUUUCGGAUGAAAGUGUUUAUAGCCUUUGACUUCUGCAAUCGGAGAGAUUGAGGCCUGCAGCGUAGAUCCUUCGGGGUUAGAUGCAUUUGUGCUAAGUUAUAGCCUUUCAUAGACAACUUGUUGACUAUGAUCAGUCAUGUAGCUUACUCGCUUAUGUCAUUUUACCUACGCUUAGGAUGUUGAAUCUGUGCGAGACUAC
This 775-nucleotide ribosomal RNA is filed under the name uncultured Neocallimastigales. RNAcentral describes it as "partial large subunit ribosomal RNA". It matches the Rfam family "Eukaryotic large subunit ribosomal RNA", at positions 24 to 644 of the family's 3401-position model. The record is from RNAcentral. Lineage: Eukaryota; Fungi; Neocallimastigomycota; Neocallimastigomycetes; Neocallimastigales.